Ipomoea nil (Japanese morning glory) is the source of this 82-nucleotide transfer RNA. It matches the Rfam family "tRNA". From Rfam's summary of the family: Transfer RNA (tRNA) molecules are approximately 80 nucleotides in length. Their secondary structure includes four short double-helical elements and three loops (D, anti-codon, and T loops). The record is from Rfam. NCBI's taxonomy places the organism in Eukaryota, Viridiplantae, Streptophyta, Magnoliopsida, Solanales, Convolvulaceae.
GUGGGCAUGCCGGAGUGUUUAUCGGCCAUAACUAGAAAUCAUGUGGGCUUUGCCCGUGCAGGUUCGAAUCAUGCUGCUCACG